ACUUUAAUAUGAAAGUACUUGUU
RNAcentral lists this microRNA (23 nucleotides) under Anolis carolinensis (green anole). RNAcentral's name for it is "Aca-Mir-430-P3_5p* (star (passenger))". The record is from RNAcentral. Lineage: Eukaryota; Metazoa; Chordata; Lepidosauria; Squamata; Anolidae.